AGUGAACGCUGGCGGUAGGCCUAACACAUGCAAGUCGAACGGCAGCACAGUAAGAGCUUGCUCUUACGGGUGGCGAGUGGCGGACGGGUGAGGAAUACAUCGGAAUCUACUUUUUCGUGGGGGUUAACGUAGGGAAACUUACGCUAAUACCGCAUCCGACCUUCGGGUGAAAGCAGGGGAUCUUCGGACCUUGCGCGAUUGAAUGAGCCGCUGUCGGGGUAGCUGGUUGGCGGGGUAAAGGCCCACCAGGGCGGCGAUCCGUAGCUGGUCGGAGAGGAUGGUCAGCCACACUGGAACGGAGACACGGACCAGACGCCUGCGGGAGGGAGCAGUGGGGAAUAUGGGACAAUGGGGGCAAGCCUGAUCCAGCCAGACCGCGUGGGUGGAGAAGGCCUUCGGGUUGUAAAGCCCUUUUGUGGGGAAAGAAAAGCAUCAGGUUAAUACCCCGCUGUUCUGACGGUACCCAAAGAAUAAGCACCGGCUAACUUCGUG
This 492-nucleotide ribosomal RNA is filed under the name uncultured bacterium. Its description in RNAcentral is "partial 16S ribosomal RNA". It matches the Rfam family "Bacterial small subunit ribosomal RNA", at positions 29 to 507 of the family's 1533-position model. The record is from RNAcentral.